RNAcentral lists this transfer RNA (75 nucleotides) under Candidatus Ancaeobacter aquaticus. RNAcentral describes it as "tRNA-Gly". It matches the Rfam family "tRNA". Rfam says of the family: Transfer RNA (tRNA) molecules are approximately 80 nucleotides in length. Their secondary structure includes four short double-helical elements and three loops (D, anti-codon, and T loops). The record is from RNAcentral. Lineage: Bacteria; Pseudomonadati; Candidatus Auribacterota; Candidatus Ancaeobacteria; Candidatus Ancaeobacterales; Candidatus Ancaeobacteraceae.
GCGAGCGUAGCUCAGUGGUAGAGCCCUUCGUUGCCAACGAAGCUGUCGUGGGUUCAAAUCCCAUCGCUCGCUCCA